Molecule: ribosomal RNA, 1489 nt
Filed under: metagenome
Description: bacterial SSU rRNA
Rfam family: Bacterial small subunit ribosomal RNA
Source: RNAcentral
AGAGUUUGAUCCUGGCUCAGGAUGAACGCUAGCUACAGGCUUAACACAUGCAAGUCGAGGGGAAACGAUAUUGGAAGCUUGCUUCCGAUAGGCGUCGACCGGCGCACGGGUGAGUAACGCGUAUCCAACCUGCCCACCACUUGGGGAUAACCUUGCGAAAGUAAGACUAAUACCCAAUGACGUCUCUAGAAGACAUCUGAAGGAGAUUAAAGAUUUAUCGGUGAUGGAUGGGGAUGCGUCUGAUUAGCUUGUUGGCGGGGUAACGGCCCACCAAGGCAACGAUCAGUAGGGGUUCUGAGAGGAAGGUCCCCCACAUUGGAACUGAGACACGGUCCAAACUCCUACGGGAGGCAGCAGUGAGGAAUAUUGGUCAAUGGGCGAGAGCCUGAACCAGCCAAGUAGCGUGCAGGAAGACGGCCCUAUGGGUUGUAAACUGCUUUUAUAAGGGAAUAAAGUAAGUCUCGUGAGACUUUUUGCAUGUACCUUAUGAAUAAGGACCGGCUAAUUCCGUGCCAGCAGCCGCGGUAAUACGGAAGGUCCGGGCGUUAUCCGGAUUUAUUGGGUUUAAAGGGAGCGUAGGCCGGAGAUUAAGCGUGUUGUGAAAUGUAGACGCUCAACGUCUGUACUGCAGCGCGAACUGGUUUCCUUGAGUACGCACAAAGUGGGCGGAAUUCGUGGUGUAGCGGUGAAAUGCUUAGAUAUCACGAAGAACUCCGAUUGCGAAGGCAGCUCACUGGAGCGCAACUGACGCUGAAGCUCGAAAGUGCGGGUAUCGAACAGGAUUAGAUACCCUGGUAGUCCGCACGGUGAACGAUGGAUGCCCGCUGUUGGUCUGAACAGGUCAGCGGCCAAGCGAAAGCAUUAAGCAUCCCACCUGGGGAGUACGCCGGCAACGGUGAAACUCAAAGGAAUUGACGGGGGCCCGCACAAGCGGAGGAACAUGUGGUUUAAUUCGAUGAUACGCGAGGAACCUUACCUGGGCUAGAAUGCCCUUGACAGACUCAGAGACGAGUUUUUUCGCAAGAACAACUGUGAAGGUGCUGCAUGGUUGUCGUCAGCUCGUGCCGUGAGGUGUCGGCUUAAGUGCCAUAACGAGCGCAACCCCUCUCCUUAGUUGCCAUCAGGUUAAGCUGGGCACUCUGGGGACACUGCCACCGUAAGGUGUGAGGAAGGUGGGGAUGACGUCAAAUCAGCACGGCCCUUACGUCCGGGGCUACACACGUGUUACAAUGGCAGGUACAGAGAGACGGUUGUACGUAAGUACGAUCAAAUCCUUAAAGCCUGUCUCAGUUCGGACUGGGGUCUGCAACCCGACCCCACGAAGCUGGAUUCGCUAGUAAUCGCGCAUCAGCCAUGGCGCGGUGAAUACGUUCCCGGGCCUUGUACACACCGCCCGUCAAGCCAUGAAAGCCGGGGGCGCCUAAAGUCCGUGACCGUAAGGAGCGGCCUAGGGCGAAACUGGUAAUUGGGGCUAAGUCGUAACAAGGUA